Prunus avium (sweet cherry) is the source of this 238-nucleotide non-coding RNA. NCBI's taxonomy places the organism in Eukaryota, Viridiplantae, Streptophyta, Magnoliopsida, Rosales, Rosaceae. The record is from RefSeq and is a predicted model, not a curated record.
UAUUUUGUUCUUAUUUCUUGUUGUUAGAUUUGGUGAACAACCUUGGUACCAUUGCAAGGGUGGCACCAAGGAAUUAAUGGAAGCCUUGGCUGCUGGUGCUUAUCUUGUUGCAGAUAAGGUCAUUGUUACAACCAAGCACAAUGAUCAUGAGAAGUAUGUGUGGGAGCCACUCCGAUUCAAUGUUUAUGAUGUAUUUCCUUUUGCCUUUGCGAUUGUACCUGGUGAAACUGUAGACAAU